UACGUAGGGGGCAAGCGUUGUCCGGAUUUAUUGGGCGUAAAGAGCGUGUAGGCGGCCAUGCAGGUCCGUUGUGAAAACUCGAGGCUCAACCUCGAGACGCCGAUGGAAACCGCAUGGCUAGAGUCCGGAAGAGGAGAGUGGAAUUCCUGGUGUAGCGGUGAAAUGCGCAGAUAUCGGGAGGAACACCGGUGGCGAAGGCGGUUCUCUGGGCCUGUACUGACGCUGAGGAGCG
This 232-nucleotide ribosomal RNA is filed under the name uncultured bacterium. RNAcentral describes it as "partial 16S ribosomal RNA". It matches the Rfam family "Bacterial small subunit ribosomal RNA", at positions 524 to 755 of the family's 1533-position model. The record is from RNAcentral.